CUGGCGGCGUGCUUAACACAUGCAAGUCGAACGCGAAAGGGACUUCGGGUCCUGAGUAAAGUGGCGCACGGGUGAGUAACGCGUAGAUAACCUGUCUUCAUGUCUGGAAUAAUACGCCGAAAGGGGUACUAAUACCGGAUAUUCUUGCUUUUCAUAAGUUAUGCAAGCAAAGGUGGCCUCUGCAUAUGCUACUGCAUGAAGAGGGGUCUGCGUACCAUUAGCUAGUAGGUGGGGUAAUGGCCUACCUAGGCGACGAUGGUUAGCGGGUCUGAGAGGAUGAUCCGCCACACUGGCACUGGAACACGGGCCAGACUCCUACGGGAGGCAGCAGUGAGGAAUAUUGCGCAAUGGGGGAAACCCUGACGCAGCGACGCCGCGUGAGUGAAGGAAGGCCUUCGGGUCGUAAAGCUCUGUCAAGAGGAAAGAAGUGUACAAUGGCUAAUACCUGUUGUAUUUGACGGUACCUCUAAAGGAAGCACCGGCUAACUCCGUGCCAGCAGCCGC
RNAcentral lists this ribosomal RNA (504 nucleotides) under uncultured bacterium. Its description in RNAcentral is "bacterial SSU rRNA". It matches the Rfam family "Bacterial small subunit ribosomal RNA", at positions 36 to 518 of the family's 1533-position model. The record is from RNAcentral.